AUGGAUUUGCUUUCUUCAAGCUCUUAUAUCGUUUUGGGUCACCUAUGUACUUUUCAGUGUAUGUUUUUUAUUCAUGCACAUGAACUGUACAGGAAGGAUCAUAUUGAUUCCUCCCUACCAUUUUAUCUAAGUUCCAUGCCAACAAUGGUGGCUGUGAGUAGUUGUACAGCUGUGAGUAGUAGUACAACUGUACAGGACGAGCAGGUGGGCAUGGAGCCCGACAACAAGGCUCGCGUGGCUGCCCUCGAGGAGUGGGAGGAGAGGCUCCUCGCCAGGGAGGAGGCCCUGAAGAAGGAGGAGGAGUUGGAGGGGGGCAACAAGAAGGAGGAGGCGGGGGGCAACCAGAACAAGGGUCCCUGA
This 360-nucleotide ribosomal RNA is filed under the name Triticum aestivum (bread wheat). RNAcentral describes it as "partial small subunit ribosomal RNA". Lineage: Eukaryota; Viridiplantae; Streptophyta; Magnoliopsida; Poales; Poaceae. The record is from RNAcentral.